RNAcentral lists this ribosomal RNA (274 nucleotides) under uncultured bacterium. RNAcentral's name for it is "partial 16S ribosomal RNA". It matches the Rfam family "Bacterial small subunit ribosomal RNA", at positions 523 to 796 of the family's 1533-position model. The record is from RNAcentral.
AUACGGAGGUGGCAAACGUUGCUCGGAAUCACUGGGCUUAAAGGGCGUGUAGGCGGUCUUCCAAGUCGGAUGUGAAAGCCCUCGGCUCAACCGAGGAAUUGCACUCGAUACUGGUCGACUAGAGUGCGGCAGGGGUAAGUGGAACUCCAGGUGUAGCGGUGAAAUGCGUAGAUAUCUGGAGGAACGCCGGUGGCGAAAGCGACUUACUGGGCCGCAACUGACGCUAAGGUGCGAAAGCUAGGGGAGCGAACGGGAUUAGAAACCCCAGUAGUCC